GGGGGUGCACCGGUUUCGACAGGGGGUACUGAAAUUUUGUGGGCGUGUCCAGGUUGAUCGGCAUGGUCCUGGUAAAAAGUCGAUCAAAAAUUAAAUGCUGAAUCAAAUGAUUACGCAUACGCAAUGGCUGCUUAAUUUAAUUAAGCCCGUUCGUUGAGGUGGUUACGGCCGAUAACAAAGCUCGUGACAAAUUUGGUGUGGGAGCAAGCAAAACUUCCUCUGGAGAGUGAUCGGUAAUACUCCAUAAAAAAUUGCCGAGCUUGUAGAUUCACGAAUCUUCUAGUCUUCGCUCUGAGACAAUAAUUCAGAGCUACACACGUAGUCCGCUUUAUAGACGUCUCUUUGGACGUGGGUUCGAUUCCCACCACCUCCACCA
Molecule: transfer-messenger RNA, 376 nt
Filed under: Bacteriovoracaceae
Lineage: Bacteria; Pseudomonadati; Bdellovibrionota; Bacteriovoracia; Bacteriovoracales
Also listed under: 1 other name
Description: Bacteriovorax sp013141065 Standard tmRNA
Rfam family: transfer-messenger RNA
About the family: Bacterial tmRNA, also known as 10Sa RNA or SsrA, is named for its dual tRNA and mRNA-like properties. Its role is to liberate the mRNA from a stalled ribosome. To accomplish this part of the tmRNA is used as a reading frame that ends in a translation stop signal.
Source: RNAcentral